Molecule: non-coding RNA, 7006 nt
Organism: Cherax quadricarinatus
Lineage: Eukaryota; Metazoa; Arthropoda; Malacostraca; Decapoda; Parastacidae
Source: RefSeq, a predicted model, not a curated record
AAUUUACCAGGACAAAACUAAUUAGGGGGCAGGGAAGAGACGGACUUGACUUGGCGGAAACACAGUACCUAAAGGUUCAUUAUUUGUGCUGGAGUCUGGUGUAGCAGUUCCCGGUGGCUUCCUGCUGCCAGACCCUGGGUCUCGUGUGCCCAGGGGCUUCCCUAGUGCUCGCAGGGGCUGUCUGCUACUAAUCUUAGGCUACGUGUUCCCUGGCGUUGGAUUUCUUCAUCAUUGGCACCCAGGCCACACUGGCACCAAGCCACACUGGCACCCAGGCCACACUGGCACCCAGGCCACACUGGCACCCAGGCCACACUGGCACCCAGGCCACACUGGCACCCAGGCCACACUGGCACCCAGGCCACACUGGCACCAAGCCACACUGGCACCCAGGCCACCCUGCAGGAAGUUACAACUGUUCUCUGCACACUGUAACCACAUACCUCACCACCAUCACCAAAGAGGUAUGAAGUACAGGAAGACACCACCUCCAGUAUUUCAUUCCUCAUCACAAGCCCAAGCGCUGGAGCCCUACAUGAACAAAUGUCAUGCCACGAAUGCAGGCACCCAGGCCGCACACUGAAGAUCAUCAUACUUGGCCCUACACUGCUGCCAUAUACUCCACCACCUUCACUGAGGAGUUAUGAAGUGCAGGAAGACAUCACUCCUGCCAUCCUUCACUCAUCAUCAGCUCUGGUGUUCCAGUUCAACUUGAACAACAAAUGUCAUGCCGCAGUUACAGCUGGCCUUCACCUUCAUGAUGGUGAACGGAUACACAUCUGAGGAUGUUCAACAGUGCUUGAGUUGCAGGAUCCCACCAGGAUCAUAUCAUUCAGAAAGAGGACAGAUGCAGCAAACCAUCGUCUAUAUGAUAGAGAAAUACUGUCAAUAUCCACCCAAUAAACUCCUUGUAUGGACUGUCUUACAAGAGUUGUGGCACAUAUGAAGUAUAGGUCAGUGAUGCCCUGUAAAACAUCACUCACGGCCUUUCCAAACUGCUUGUCUCAUCUGGACUUCAUAGCUCAAGAACGCUACUCAUGGAGGAUGCUGAUUAACCCAACAUAAACAGGGAUACUGUCUAACCUCCUCGUAGACACCUCCAACGGAACACUGAAUUGGAUUCAUCCUUGACCCGACUUGUUCUUGAAUUACAGUAGAUCCAAACAGUGACCCAGCACGGUCAUUUAUACCAGAGUUGUUACCUUUGCUCCGCCUCUAAACGCCUCAGGCUCUACCCACCGUACGAUAAUUCCAAUAUUUUACACAGAUUUUCAUAAUUCCACGUUGAAUUAUUAGCAAAUACACUUGAACAUGAGGGUAUAUUGAAAUGCUCAUAUGCAUAUUUCAAUAUAAAUUGAUCAUUCUUUAAUUUAUCUCAACUAAAAUCUUUAAAUAAAUAUGGUAUAAUUUUCUUUACGCUAUAAUUUGUUAACUUAUACACAAAAUAUAUAGCAUAUAAGACGCACAACAAUGAUUUUUCAUGUUGAAUCCUCUGAUUAAUACCGUACAUGAAAUUUCUCUUGUAUAUAAUUUUCUCAUAUAUUUGUAUAAUGUUUUAAAUCCAUCCCGAUUUAAUGUGUUUGUUCACAUAUAUAGUAAUCCAAUGAGCCAUAUUUUCAUCUUGAUCGUUCAAUAUAUUAAUGAUGAAAAUUACCGGCUUAUCUUUUAUCCUCAUAAUAACUUCAUUUAUAUUAUUUGCGGCAAAACAUCCCAAAUACGAGGCUGUAUCUUCCCGUAUGAUGUUUCAAGGCAAUAUUUAUCUCUUCACAAUUCAUGCUCUAUACUCGUGUAUGUAAUAUCACUGUUCUAUUUUCAUUUAUAUUUAAAAUCACAUUAGUUUCACCAAACAUCAGACAAAUUCUAUUCUCAUCUUUCUGUUUACCAAAUGUCAUAUCUAUUCUCAAAUUACCAUUCUUCUGGACAGAUAUAGCAUUCUUAACCUGUUCACUUCUCAGGUCAACACCUAAUAUAGUUCUGCCUUGGAGAAAACUCUUAUAUGUAAUCAGAUGAUCAGUCUCCAAACCCAGAGAUUUCAAGGUAGCGUAAUAUAACCUACUCGCGUGUGUAGGAAACUUAGUCAAUAUUAAGAAUCGUUUCUGAAUUAAUUGUAACCCCGAAAUGAUUCAAAUCUUCAUGUUGAAAAUAUAAUGGAUUAAAAUUAUAUCCUCCAUCAUAUGUCUUCAUAUCAACUAUUAUAAUAAAUAUCUUAUCGGGUAUGACUUGUCCCCAAGGAUUAUCUGCGAUCAAUUGUUUGAUUAGAUGCCAGAAUAUGAUUUAAAUAAUGUCUUCUUGAAUAGAUAUUCACACCCCUGCGGGUUUACCCCCAUGCUUGAAUUCAAUGCAGUUAAUGCAUUCGUAUACGGAAUAACUUUAUCGAGCCAUAAUAUAAUAGAAUUAAUAUUAUAUUUAUAUGUUUUUCCGGUUAAUGGAGUCAUAAUUGCCCAUGUGGGUGAAUGUAAUUAAAGUCUCAAUCGACAUUCGACACUAUCCAGGAUAUAUUCGUCAAAACUACUCACAUCCAGCAUCAAAGGGAAACAAGUAUUCACUUCAUUCGAUAAUUUACCUUCGUCUUUCUUAAUAGCAUUGAAAUCAGCCGCUGUAAUAGCACUAUUUGUUGUCUCAUUAUUACGAAAGAAUGCUAUUCUUCCCAAUGUAUCUAAUUUUGAUGUUGAUAAAUGCUUAAGCAGUUUAAUAUAACCCGCAUAUGAAUAAAAUGGAUUCGAUUCUAUAAGUUGUUCAUUGAGAUACAAACAUAGAUUUGAAUAUUGUCUGACUUAUAGAAUUCACAAAUAUCGCCUUAUCUCCAUCUCCCAAUGCACUCCCAUCCUCGUUUGUUAUAUUUAUGUUCAUUUCCAACGCGACUCUUUAAAUCUAAAAAAUGACCUUCUGAACUUUGUAUUCUAAAUUCGAGAAAUUUAUCAGAUCCCUGAUUUACUGGUAAUGCUUCACAGGUGCGUCUAGCUGCUAUCGAGGAUUCAAUAAUGGCGUGUCCUGGUAAUUUUGGGAAUCCAUCAGUUAUGGAAUGAGAAUAACUGGGAACAGGGGCGUUGAGCCCCCCUGGUGUAACGUAUAGAGCACCACCCGACAUACUAGCAAUAUGGAAGUUAACAAUAAACUAAAAUUAAUUAAAUAUUCCACUUUCUUUUGUUAUUAAAUUUCAAUCGAUUCAAACCAAUCUUUCUACUUCCUCCGGAUAAUAACUUUUGUCCGACACCCAUCAAUGUUUCUACAUUGAUGGGUGAAUGGCUGAAUUUUUCAAUGCAAUACCAUCAUUAACAUCGUUCAACACAUUUCGUCCGUAUUGUAAUACUCCCGGAGCAAAGGUAUUCAAUAAGAAUGGUAUUGCUUUUCUGGCCAUCCCACCGAGAAAUGACAAUAAUCCUCCGCCCCUCCCUCUAGCUUUAUAUAAUAUGAUAUCUAAACCUCCCCCUUUCACCCUCGAAGUAUCAAAGAGUUUCAGGAAUGAUUCCACUGAAGGAGGGGAGAAACUCGUUCUCAUCUUGACGGUUCGUUCAAUAUUAACUCAACUUGAUCAUUCACUCUCGUUUUAUAGGUCUUAAAUGUAGUACACAUACAGUAGAACACUUGUCAUUAUAUUGAAUUAACCUUCCUUUCUGAUCAGCGAGCUUAAUACUCACUCUGUGGUAUUAAGUGGUUUGUACAUUGUGGGAUCAUAAUUAGAUCUUAAUGUAUUAAUAUCAACUACUCCCAAAAGAGAUACCAACUGAUCGCCAAAAUUAAUGGAAUCAAUCAAAUCACUAUAUAUUAACAUAUAAUUAAUACCUGAUUCAGGAUCGGGUGGGUUUACCGCCUUUACACCAGACUCGUUAAAAAUAAUUUUUUUUUAUUGGUAAAGACAUACAAAAUUUCAUUACCUGAGAACCCUAACAUAUCGCUUCCUUCUUUAUCAAAUUCCAACCCCACAUAACCGCUAGUAAUAUCAGAAAGUAGUAUCAUUUUUUUUUUCACGUUAAUAACCACUCUGUUUAUUCCUGGAUGAUAUGUGAACACAAUUGAGUUUUUUGGGAUGAUAAUACACGUUAUCUUUUUAACUGCUAUUAGCAGAUUUUCAUUAAUAUCCUCAUUUAUUGCCUCUAUAAUCCUUGUCAUAUCACCUCCAAUAAUUUUGCUCAUAUCAAUUUUAUGGAUAUUUAAUGUAGAUUUCUCAUAUUUAAUACAUAUCUUCAAAUUCUUUUGUGGUAUAUAAUGUGUCUUAGUGUAAAUUUAUUUUUUCAGAGCAACCUCAUAAUCAAUUUUAUUAUCUAAUAUAAUGGGAUCAUAUAAUUUAUUAAUGAAAGCUUAAGGUGUGCAAGAAUGGUAUAUAAUACCGACAAGAUGAAAUUAAGACACAUGUUACAUCUGGGUAUCUUUAUUGUAGACGUUUCGCCAUCCAGUGGCUUUAUCAAUACAGAUUCUAGGACAUAACUUGAAGACAGUAGGACUAAUACAAAUUCUAGGACAUAGCUUGCAUAUAACUAGUCCUACUGUCUUCAAGUUAUGUCCUGGAAUUUGUAUUGAUAAAGCCACUGGAUGGCGAAACGUCUACAAUAAAGAUGCCCAGAUGUUGCACAUGUGUCUUAAUUUCAAAGCUGAAGGUGUAUUGGCGGGAAAUAAAUCAAGACUGGAAUCACUACAGACGUAUAGAAGACGUUCAGCCAUCUCCAACACUCUUAUAACACACUGAGUAAAAACGCAUCAUCACAGAGUUUAUAUACUCACCUAAUAUGCUGUCCACGAUGAUUCCUCUCUCCAUACACCGCCUCCUUUAUGUAAUAAUUGUCUUCUCACUUUUGUAUUCCUCACAAAAUCAAAAUGUACCUACCUGGAGUCUACCUGGAGGGCAUUCCGGGGAUCAACGUCCCCGCGGCCCGGUCCACGAUCAGGCCUCCCGGUGGAUCAGGGCCUGAUCAACGAGGCUGUUACUGCUGGCCGCACGUAAUCCAACGUACGAACCACAGCCCGGCUGAUCCGGCACCAUCUUUAGGUAUCUGUCCAGCUCCCUCUUGAAGACAACCAGGGGUCUUCCCGUAAUGCCCCUUAUUGCUGGUGGGAGGCUGUUGAACAGUCUUGGGCCCCAGGAGGCCUGGUCACAGACCGGGUCGCGUUGACCCCCGGAACUCUCUCCAGGUAAACCAGUGAUGCCCCUACUUUUCACUGGGGAUAUGUUGUAUCGCCUGCCAAGUCUUUUGCUUUCGUAUGGAGUGAUUGUUGUGUUAUAUUUAAUAAAUGCUUUAUUUCUGUUAAGUAAUCAGAAUCGAUUCUUCUCGCUGAUUUCACAUUGUUUUCUGAUAAGACGUUUAAUAUUUCAAUAAUAUUACGUCCAGUAAUGGGGGUAAGAAGGUCACCAUUCUCAUCCCAACUCACCAAAGGAUUUCUUUGCAAUAAUACCAACGUUGAUUUCACAUAUUCUACAUUUCUCGUACUCUUAUGUGCAUGAAUCUUGACAAAUCUGGGGUUUUCUGAGGUUUCACCGAGGUGAGUGCAGGUGGGUUGACUUCCCUGACAGGACUGAGCUUAAUCUUGCGUUUAACAGCACACUUCAAGCAUCCACCUCCUCCUAAAUUCUCAUCACCUCCCGAUUUUACUAUCUCGAGAGGUUUCCGAUUCAUAACUGAAGUUGGUACAAGAUAAAAUUCUCUCAUGAUUUAUUAAACAAUCUUGAAAUAUCUACUGCUAGAGGUAAUAUAAUACUAAGAAGAUUUCCACCUCUGAUACUCAGCAAAUAUUUCUUUUUACGCUGAAAACCAAUUUUCUUACAAGCUAAUGCUCUAAUCUCGUUCUUGUACUUUUUAAAUAUUUUAGGGUCUAAUGGUAUUUCAUUUUUGAUCAAAUUCUUGAAAAUCUCACUGAUACAACCUAUGUGUGUUUUCUUAAACUGUUGUAAUAAACUCUUCUGUUGAUUGCCUUUAAAUUUUUCUAAUAAUUAUUUUGGAGUGAGAUGGAAUAUUUCACGACCAAUUCCCAACCUACUUCAUGAGUUGAUGGGUUUGUUAGGAGCGAGAUCCACCCCACCAUACGUAGUGCAUCUCUCCCCCACCCCGCCUCCUACCCACCCAUAUGGAGAUGCUCCUGCCCCUCCUACCAACGAUGAGAUCGCGCCUUCUCCCCACCCUCAUGUGGAUAUCGCUCCCGCUACGUCUAGCACUAAUAAUAAUGUGAAUGAAGAGAUUAAUAUGAGAGGAGAAUGUGCCAGUAGCUGUUAUUGUGAUAAAUGUGUAUGGAGUGAGAUGGAAUAUUUCACGACAAAUUCCCAACCUAGUUCAUGUGUUGUUGAGGAUUCCCCGUCUUCCCCCAUAAAUUAUCCACCGGCUUCCUCACCAUCAUCCUCCCCAGAAGUUUAUUAUAUAUCAGAUGACGACGAAGAAGAUCCAGAACAAAAUGCACAGAAUUUCUUCAAGAGAAGAAGAAUUACUCUGUUGAUUUUAGUCAAUGAAUUGUACCUUUUUUCAAUUAAUUUGUAUUUUUUUUUGUUGGAUUUAUAUGAAAUGUAUAUGAAAUAAAGUGUAUUGGUUGUAUAAUAAAUAAAUAAAUGAAAAUAUGAUUCUCAGAUCACUUGUGAAUUAUGUAGUAACAUCUUCAAAAAUGCCCAAGACAAACAAACAUCAUGACCACACUUUAAAAUUCAAUAAUUAUAUUGGUGCCUAUUGUGCUCGUUGUAAUUUGCAAUGUAAAGAUAAGAGUGAGAAAUUAUUACUUUUUUUGUCAUAACAUGUCAUAUGAUUUAGGAAUAAUUUUAAAGGAAUUGCAGGUUGAUAAAUAUGAAAUUGAACUUCAUUCGAAUCAAGGACUCAAAUUCUUGAAAGUAGACAUAGGUCAGGUUAGGUUUCAAGAUUCUCUGUCUUUAUUGAAUGGAUCUCUUUCCACUUUAGCAGAUCAGCAUAUCAAGGCAGGUAAAUCAUUGAAAUAUACAGAGGCUAUUCUGAAAGAUGUGCCUCAGGAUGUCUUACCUUUAUUAUGUAAAGGAAAAAAAGUUUUGUGCUAUGAUUAUAUUGAUAGUUUAAAGAAA